GGAGUUAGCCGGUGCUUCUUCUGUGAGUGAUGUCCUUCCUGCCGGCUAUUAACCCGCAGGCCUUCUUCCUCACUGAAAGUGNUUUACAACCCGAAGGCCUUCUUCACACACGCGGCAUGGCUGGAUCAGGGUUGCCCCCAUUGUCCAAUAUUCCCCACUGCUGCCUCCCGUAGGAGUCUGGGCCGUGUCUCAGUCCCAGUGUGGCUGAUCAUCCUCUCAGACCAGCUACGGAUCGUCGCCUUGGUGAGCGUUACCUCACCAACCAGCUAAUCCGACAUAGGCUCAUCCGAUAGCGCGAGGCCCGAAGGUCCCCCGCUUUCCCCCGUAGGGCGUAUGCGGUAUUAGCCUGGGUUUCCCCAGGUUAUCCCCCACUACCGGGCAGAUUCCUAUGCAUUACUCACCCGUCCGCCGCUCGCCACCAGGGAGCAAGCUCCCCGUGCUGCCGCUCGACUUGCAUGUGUUAGGCCUGCCGCCAGCGUUCAAUCUGAGCCAGGAUCAAACUCUGA
Molecule: ribosomal RNA, 506 nt
Filed under: uncultured bacterium
Lineage: Bacteria
Description: partial 16S ribosomal RNA
Source: RNAcentral